CUGGGUGCGGGCUGCGGUCGGCCGAGAAGGGGACACAGACGAUCGCUUUAGAGAACAGCCUUCCGGGGAAGCGCCAAGGCUCUGACCCACUGCGGAAGAGGAAGGAGAGCUGGGUCUCGGGCGCCGGAGGGCGGUGACAGUCUGGUCGCCCUCCCGAGCGCCGCGGGUCAGGGUGGAGCCUGCAGCCCCGAGCCGCUACAGCGUUUAGCAUGCAAAUCCAGUCCCCGCUCCGCCUCUCCCCCCACCCCCAGCCCUCCCCGCCCCGGGAGCGAGCUCAGCGGCUCGGCAGCCGCCCACGCCUCCUGCGCGCCGCGGCGCCCGAGCGGGCGGCUCUACUUAAGCGGCGCGCGGGCCGCGACCCGCCACUCGCCUGGAGCGCGCGGGCGAGGCGGGCGCAGCGCACCGGGGCUCCCGUGGGCUCACAGCUGCGCGCUCGCACGGCGCGGCUCUCGGUGGCGGCGGCGGCCGCCUGAGCG
This is a long non-coding RNA of Onychomys torridus (southern grasshopper mouse), 476 nucleotides long. RefSeq lists it as uncharacterized. The transcript has a single exon. The record is from RefSeq and is a predicted model, not a curated record. Lineage: Eukaryota; Metazoa; Chordata; Mammalia; Rodentia; Cricetidae.